This 1985-nucleotide ribosomal RNA is filed under the name human gut metagenome. Its description in RNAcentral is "bacterial LSU rRNA". It matches the Rfam family "Bacterial large subunit ribosomal RNA", at positions 831 to 2841 of the family's 2925-position model. The record is from RNAcentral.
AAUCGAACCCGGAGAUAGCUGGUUCUCCUCGAAAUAGCUUUAGGGCUAGCCCCGUAUUAGUUUAGCGGAGGUAGAGCACUGAAUUCCUAAGGGGGCGUCAAAGCUUACCAAGGGAUAUCAAACUCCGAAUGCCGCAUAAAUGAUGUACGGGAGUCAGACUGCACGAGAUAAGUUGGGCAGUCAAAAGGGAAAGAGCCCAGACCUACAGCUAAGGUCCCAAAGUGUGUGUUAAGUGGAAAAGGAUGUGGGAUUUCAGAGACAACUAGGAUGUUGGCUUAGAAGCAGCCACACAUUCAAAGAGUGCGUAAUAGCUCACUAGUCGAGAGGUCCUGCGCCGAAAAUGUCCGGGGCUGAAACACAACACCGAAGCUUAGGAAUGUAGUAAUACAUUGGUAGAGGAGCAUUCUUAAAGGAAUGAAGCAGUACCGAUAAGGAGCUGUGGACUUUUAAGAAGAGAGAAUGCCGGAAUGAGUAGCGAGAUGGAGGUGGGAAUCCUCCAGGCCGAAUAUCCAAGGUUUCCAGAGUAAAGCUGAUCUGCUCUGGGUAAGUCGGGGCCUAAGGUAAGGCUGAGAAGCGUAGCCGAUGGACAACAGGUUGAGAUUCCUGUACCGCGUAUCAUCAGAACUGUGGGGACACAGAAGGACAGCACAACCCGGGAAUGGAAAGACCGGGGCAAGCAGGGUAGGAGUUAAGCUGGCAAAUCCGCUUAACAAUCCGAAGCUGUGAUGCGGAGCGAAUUUAAGUAGUGAAGUGUGCGAUUCCGGCUGUCAAGAAAAGCCGCUAUUGUGUGAUACGUGCCCGUACCGUAAACCGACACAGGUAGAUGAGGAGAGAAUCCUAAGGCCGGCGGGAGAAGCAUUGUUAAGGAACUCGGCAAAAUGACCCUGUAACUUCGGGAGAAAGGGUGCCUGGGAAACCAGGCCGCAGAGAAUAGGCUCAAGCAACUGUUUAGCAAAAACACAGGUCUAUGCAAAACCGUAAGGUGAGGUAUAUGGGCUGACGCCUGCCCGGUGCUGGAAGGUUAAGAGGAGAGGUUAGAGCAAUCGAAGCUUUGAAUUGAAGCCCCAGUAAACGGCGGCCGUAACUAUAACGGUCCUAAGGUAGCGAAAUUCCUUGUCGGGUAAGUUCCGACCCGCACGAAAGGCGUAAUGAUUUGAGCGCUGUCUCGACAAUGCACCCGGUGAAAUUGAAAUACCAGUGAAGAUGCUGGUUACCUGCGCCAGGACGGAAAGACCCCAUGGAGCUUUACUCCAGCUUGAUACUGGGAUUCGGUACUGCAUGUACAGGAUAGGUGGGAGACUGAGAACUAUGAACGCCAGUUUGUAGGGAGUCGCUGUUGGGAUACCACCCUUGCGGUAUUGGAUUUCUAACCUGCAGCCGUGAACCGGCUGGGGGACAAUGUCAGGCGGGGAGUUUGACUGGGGCGGUCGCCUCCGAAAGGGUAUCGGAGGCGCUCAAAGGUUCCCUCAGAAUGGUUGGAAACCAUUCGAAGAGUGCAAAGGCAGAAGGGAGCUUGACUGCGACACCGACGGGUGGAGCAGGUACGAAAGUAGGACUUAGUGAUCCGGUGGUAUAAAGUGGGAUUGCCAUCGCUCAACGGAUAAAAGCUACCCUGGGGAUAACAGGCUUAUCACUCCCAAGAGUUCACAUCGACGGAGUGGUUUGGCACCUCGAUGUCGGCUCAUCGCAUCCUGGGGCUGUAGUAGGUCCCAAGGGUUGGGCUGUUCGCCCAUUAAAGCGGUACGCGAGCUGGGUUCAGAACGUCGUGAGACAGUUCGGUCCCUAUCCGGCGCGGGCGUAAGAUAUUUGAGAGGAGCUGUCCUUAGUACGAGAGGACCGGGAUGGACGGGCCGCUGGUGUACCUGUUGGAGUGCCAACUCCAUGGCAGGGUAGCCAAGCCCGGACGGGAUAAACGCUGAAGGCAUCUAAGCGUGAAGCCCCCCUCAAGAUGAGAUAUCUCAUACGCAAGUAGUAAGACCCCUUGA